Molecule: long non-coding RNA, 595 nt
Filed under: Mytilus galloprovincialis (Mediterranean mussel)
Lineage: Eukaryota; Metazoa; Mollusca; Bivalvia; Mytilida; Mytilidae
Source: RNAcentral
ACAUACAACUGUAUUUUUACAAUGUAAAUGGACGCAGUGAAAAUCUUGAAGUGAGUCAAAGAAAAUACUUUAAAAAAGAAAAGAAAUAACAGUCCAAAAUAAAUGAAAACUUACCAUGGUAUGGGCUUUGCUCAUUGUUGAAGGCCGUACGGUGACCUAUAGUUUUUAAUGUCUGUGUCAUUUUGGUCUCUUGUGGACAGUUGUCUCAUUGGCAAUCAUACCACAUCUUUUUUUAUAUUACCAGUUGUAUUAAUUGUAAAUUUGAAUUCGCCCUUCCUAUGCACGACACACUGAAAAUUUUAACGUUAGUCACAAACCUUGUUGGCAAAAUAAGAAACCAAAGUAUCAUCCUUAAUAUGCAUGAAAUAGUUGAAAAUUGACAUCAAGCAAGUAACUACCGGAUCAGUAUACGGCGUUAAAAAACCCUCAACAUCCCUUUUACAGAAACAAGGAACCUCUAAUAAUACAUUCCAAUUUUACAACAAAUCUUUUUCUAUAAAAACUAUUUUCAUCGCAUUUCAAUGUUAUUUUGAAUAUGACAUAUUCGGUCAUAUAAAUAAUAAAGAUUUCUUUUUGUUUCACCAGUUAUUCACAC